This 523-nucleotide ribosomal RNA is filed under the name uncultured bacterium. Its description in RNAcentral is "bacterial SSU rRNA". It matches the Rfam family "Bacterial small subunit ribosomal RNA", at positions 777 to 1301 of the family's 1533-position model. The record is from RNAcentral.
AAUAGAUACCCCCGGUAGUCCACGCCGUAAACGAUGAGUGCUAAGUGUUAGAGGGUUUCCGCCCUUUAGUGCUGCAGCUAACGCAUUAAGCACUCCGCCUGGGGAGUACGGCCGCAAGGCUGAAACUCAAAGGAAUUGACGGGGGCCCGCACAAGCGGUGGAGCAUGUGGUUUAAUUCGAAGCAACGCGAAGAACCUUACCAGGUCUUGACAUCCUCUGACAACCCUAGAGAUAGGGCUUUCCCCUUCGGGAGACAGAGUGACAGGUGGUGCAUGGUUGUCGUCAGCUCGUGUCGUGAGAUGUUGGGUUAAGUCCCGCAACGAGCGCAACCCUUGAUCUUAGUUGCCAGCAUUCAGUUGGGCACUCUAAGGUGACUGCCGGUGACAAACCGGAGGAAGGUGGGGAUGACGUCAAAUCAUCAUGCCCCUUAUGACCUGGGCUACACACGUGCUACAAUGGAUGGUACAAAGGGCUGCAAACCUGCAAGGUAGCGAAUCCAUAAGCCAUUCUCAGUUCGGAUUGC